CCUUACCUGGUCUUGACAUCCUGCGAACUUUCUAGAGAUAGAUUGGUGCCUUCGGGGACGCAGUGACAGGUGCUGCAUGGCUGUCGUCAGCUCGUGUCGUGAGAUGUUCGGUUAAGUCCGGCAACGAGCGCAACCCACAUCCUUAGUUACCAGCGGUUCGGCCGGGAACUCUAAGGAAACUGCCCGUGAUAAGCGGGAGGAAGGUGUGGAUGACGUCAAGUCCUCAUGGCCCUUACGGGUUGGGCUACACACGUGCUACAAUGGCAGUGACAAUGGGUUAAUCCCAAAAAACUGUCUCAGUUCGGAUUGUCGUCUGCAACUCGACGGCAUGAAGUCGGAAUCGCUAGUAAUCGCGUAACAGCAUGACGCGGUGAAUACGUUCCCGGGUCUGUACACACCG
Molecule: ribosomal RNA, 400 nt
Filed under: uncultured bacterium
Lineage: Bacteria
Description: bacterial SSU rRNA
Rfam family: Bacterial small subunit ribosomal RNA
Source: RNAcentral